GUCGGGGGUACCCAGUCGGAGGCUAGCACCCUUUCGACGAAAAUCUCGUUUCUCACUCCUGAAGCGCAUGCCGGUAUCGACGCCAUCCGCAUUCCCGUCUUCGUUCGUUCAAACACCUGCCAGUGUUUGCUUAGGACAGUCGGCGCGAGCGUCCUAAUUGACUGGUUUCAACUUAUUAGUGUGUCUGCAGCGCAUUUUAAAACUGGAUUAACCGGACGUGCCGGUCAUAGGUGACUCGAUGUGCUCAUGUGCGCACGUCGUGUACCCCCUUCUGAUGCGAUCGAUUCUCUUCAACGACCUUCCGUAAUUUCAUCGUCAAAUUUAUCUUCGUCUACGCGAAGCGUGAGCAGGAUGAAGCCAGCGAAGAGCGGAGCAGAGUCGCGUCGAGACGAAGCGGUCGGGAUUUCUGUAAUCCCUUGUACCUGAUUCAAGAGAUAUGGACAAAUCGAAUGGGAAUACUUUUCAGAUUGGUCGCCUGAUAACACAUGUUUACCCGGUUUGUCCGCAGUUGUAAGGU
This 517-nucleotide unclassified non-coding RNA is filed under the name Bombus terrestris (buff-tailed bumblebee). RNAcentral's name for it is "misc RNA ENSBTSG00005034370.1". Lineage: Eukaryota; Metazoa; Arthropoda; Insecta; Hymenoptera; Apidae. The record is from RNAcentral.